This 253-nucleotide ribosomal RNA is filed under the name uncultured bacterium. Its description in RNAcentral is "partial 16S ribosomal RNA". It matches the Rfam family "Bacterial small subunit ribosomal RNA", at positions 524 to 776 of the family's 1533-position model. The record is from RNAcentral.
UACGAAGGGAGCUAGCGUUGUUCGGAAUCACUGGGCGUAAAGCGCACGUAGGCGGAUUUGUCAGUCAGGGGUGAAAUCCCGGGGCUCAACCUCGGAACUGCCUUUGAUACAGCAAGUCUUGAGUUCGAGAGAGGUGGGUGGAAUUCCUAGUGUAGAGGUGAAAUUCGUAGAUAUUAGGAAGAACACCGGUGGCGAAGGCGGCCCACUGGCUCGAUACUGACGCUGAGGAGCGAAAGCGUGGGUAGCAAACAGG